GUCUGGCCUCCUCCGGUGGAGGCGCCUCGCCGCCGCAGCCACGCGCGCCGCCUCCACCCUGACCGCAGCCGAAUGCUCCCCUGCCAUCGCGGCGGUCCCGCCACCGCACCGGCUCCUCCAGGAUCGGCGCAAGUGGGAGGGCCCCUCGUCCUCCUCCGGGGGCGGCUCCUCCUCGUCCUCCUCUAACGACGAGCCGGAGCCGCGGCGUAUCCGCGCGGAGGCCCACUGCCCGCGCUGCUCCAAGCACAUGGACAUCCUCUUCUCCCACCGCGCCCAUCCCCCUUCAGCCCCCGCCGCUGUCGGCGGCUAUCAGACGCUCAACCUCUGUCCCAACUGCCGCACCGCCUACUUCUUCCACCCCAACCACCUCGCGCCACUUCAGGGCACCUUCGUCGAGAUCGGCCGCGUCCGGGCUGACCUGCCCCCGGACGGCGUCAGGGUCAGGGACCCCUCCUCCUGGGAAGCCAUCCGUGCGAGCUCGUCUUCGCGCGACGAUGGGGAUGGUAGUGGCGUGGCCGUGCAUGUGCCGCCCGGGCCACCGUUCCACCCUAGCCUUAACGUCGUCCGCGUAGCCGGAGGCGGUGGCGGGGGAGGAGCUGCUGGCGGUGGGGGCGAGGAGGGAGGAGGGGGAAAGGACGGAUGGGGCGGGUCGAACCUUGGGAAGGAUUUUCCGACACCUAAGGAGAUUUCCAAGGGGCUCGAUAAGUAUGUGAUUGGGCAAGACCGAGCCAAGAAGGUGCUAUCUGUUGCAGUGUACAACCACUAUAAACGUAUAUACCAUCAGUCUCUACAGAAAGGGUCUGGAGCAGAUUUGGGUUGUUCUGAUGGAGAAGCUGAUGGUGAAGACAAUGUUGAACUAGAGAAAAGCAAUAUACUGUUAAUGGGCCCUACUGGUUCAGGUAAAACUUUGCUUGCAAAGACAUUAGCUCGGUUUGUGAAUGUGCCAUUUGUAAUUGCUGAUGCAACAACAUUGACCCAGGCAAGGUAUGUAGGAGAAGAUGUAGAAUCUAUAUUGUACAAGUUACUUACGGUGGCAGAUUUUAAUGUGCAAGCAGCACAACAAGGGAUGGUGUACAUUGAUGAAGUUGAUAAGAUCACUAAGAAGGCUGAGAGCCUUAACAUCAGUAGAGAUGUAUCAGGCGAAGGUGUUCAGCAGGCUUUGUUGAAAAUGCUCGAAGGCACGAUAGUCAAUGUCCCUGAGAAAGGAGCAAGGAAGCAUCCUCGUGGCGAUAAUAUACAGAUAGAUACGAAGGAUAUUCUGUUUAUAUGUGGGGGUGCUUUUAUUGACUUGGAGAAAACUAUAUCAGAGAGGCGGCAGGAUUCUUCUAUUGGAUUUGGGGCACCUGUCCGUGCAAGCAUGAGGACUAGUGGUAUUUCAAGUGCUCAAGUGACAUCGUCCUUGUUAGAAUCAGUUGAGAGCAGUGAUCUUAUAGCAUAUGGACUCAUUCCGGAGUUCAUUGGACGUUUUCCUAUCCUUGUCAGCUUGGCAGCACUAAAUGAGGACCAACUUGUUCAGGUUCUCACCGAGCCAAAGAAUGCUCUAGGUAAACAAUUCAAGAAGUUGUUCAGCAUGAAUAAUGUUAAGCUUCACUUCACGGAUGCUGCACUAAGAAUAAUUGCCCAGAAGGCAAUGUGCAAAAAUACAGGUGCACGGGGCUUAAGGACUAUCCUUGAGAAUAUUCUCAUGGAUUCCAUGUAUGAGAUUCCAGAUACAAAAUCUGGAGAGAAGCGAAUUGACGCAGUGGUUGUAGAUGAAGGUGCAGUAGGAUUGGUGGACCGACCUGGCUGUGGAGCUAAGAUCCUUUACGGCGAUGGUGCAUUUGAUCGUUAUCUAUCCCAGAUAAAGGCAAUGGGAGACGGAGCAGGAAGCGAAGUGGAUGGGGAUCCUGACCUUUCUUCGUCAAGAGCCAUGAGCAUGUGAUUUCAUGGUUCCUCUAGCUCUACUGUACACUGUAAAAAUCUGAUCCUAGCUGUAUUAAUGUAAAGAAAAAAAAACACAUGUGCAGUACCCAUUGCUAAUUCAAACCCCAGCUGUCUGGCCGUCCUCACGCCUUGCAUAAUCUGUAGCAGGACUGGGAAGUGUAUAGUGGAGCAAGUUGGGUGUCGACGUGUGUGUGAAGGUGAGAGACUUUUUAUGUGAAGAACUGUAAUGCUUGCCAGAUGUUGUAAAACUUCAAACACUGAGAUGAAGGGGUUGAAAUUUAGCAUGGAGAUACGAAAUUAUGUUAUCAGCUCCUUGCCCGAAUUGUGCUGUGUGGUGUACCAGCCUUGCUUGGUAGAAAGACGAAAGAGAUCCGAAUGCUUUAGGGACUUGGGAGUUUCUGCUGCAGUGCUCAAUGCACUCUCGUGGUCUAGAAAAAUACUACCUCUGUCCCAUAAUAUAAGACGUUCUUUGCAGUUUGAAACUGCAAAAAUGUCUUAUAUUUUGGGAAACAUUGUUGUAUGUCUGUACGUUUUCUGUGAAUAAAAAGAAUUUCUAAGGGCG
Molecule: ribosomal RNA, 2485 nt
Filed under: Triticum aestivum (bread wheat)
Lineage: Eukaryota; Viridiplantae; Streptophyta; Magnoliopsida; Poales; Poaceae
Description: partial small subunit ribosomal RNA
Source: RNAcentral